Callithrix jacchus (white-tufted-ear marmoset) is the source of this 116-nucleotide unclassified non-coding RNA. It matches the Rfam family "Metazoan signal recognition particle RNA". From Rfam's summary of the family: The signal recognition particle (SRP) is a universally conserved ribonucleoprotein. Lineage: Eukaryota; Metazoa; Chordata; Mammalia; Primates; Cebidae. The record is from Ensembl.
GCCGGGUGUGGUGGCUCACGCCUGUAAUCCCAGCACUUUGGAGGCUGAGGUGGGUGGAUCACCUGAGGCCAGGAGUUUGAGACCAGCCUGGCCACCAUGGUAAAACUCCAUCUCUA